CCCAUCCUUGUCUUGGGAUUGCGUCGCUAUCUAAUCAGCGCACAGUGAGGGUGGAACUGCGAACGUCUACACAGCACGCCUGCAUCAACUACAGCUUUGCUUUACCUUCGUGCAAUUUUUGAAAAA
Small nuclear RNA from Aotus nancymaae (Ma's night monkey), 126 nucleotides. The record is from Ensembl. Lineage: Eukaryota; Metazoa; Chordata; Mammalia; Primates; Aotidae.